AAUAUCGCAUAGGGGUGCUGGUGUAUGCCGGCUGAGAGAAGGGAGUUUCCCUCAACCCUUAACCUGAUCUGGGUAAUGCCAGCGUAGGGAAUGAGUAGAUUUCUAUU
RNAcentral lists this non-coding RNA (107 nucleotides) under Acetivibrio straminisolvens. RNAcentral describes it as "Clostridium straminisolvens TPP sequence". It matches the Rfam family "TPP riboswitch aptamer (THI element)". From Rfam's summary of the family: Vitamin B(1) in its active form thiamin pyrophosphate (TPP) is an essential coenzyme that is synthesised by coupling of pyrimidine and thiazole moieties in bacteria. The previously detected thiamin-regulatory element, thi box was extended, resulting in a new, highly conserved RNA secondary structure, the THI element, which is widely distributed in eubacteria and also occurs in some archaea. Analysis of operon structures identified a large number of new candidate thiamin-regulated genes, mostly transporters, in various prokaryotic organisms. Lineage: Bacteria; Bacillati; Bacillota; Clostridia; Acetivibrionales; Acetivibrionaceae. RNAcentral also lists the same sequence under 1 other name. The record is from RNAcentral.